RNAcentral lists this transfer RNA (72 nucleotides) under Athalia scapulata. Its description in RNAcentral is "tRNA-Trp". The record is from RNAcentral. Lineage: Eukaryota; Metazoa; Arthropoda; Insecta; Hymenoptera; Athaliidae.
AAGAUUUUAAGUUAAACAAAACCAAACUAUUAAUUUUCAAAAUUAAUCAUAAUCUACACUGAUUAAAUCUUA